This 404-nucleotide ribosomal RNA is filed under the name uncultured bacterium. RNAcentral's name for it is "bacterial SSU rRNA". It matches the Rfam family "Bacterial small subunit ribosomal RNA", at positions 930 to 1348 of the family's 1533-position model. The record is from RNAcentral.
UAGCGGAGCGUGUGGUUUAAUUCGAUAUUACACGAAGAACCUUACCAGGGUUUGACAUGUAGGUGGUAGUGAAGCGAAAGCGGAACGACUCUUCGGAGAGCCUGCACAGGUGCUGCAUGGCUGUCGUCAGCUCGUGUCGUGAGAUGUUCGGUUAAGUCCGCUAACGAGCGCAACCCCUGCUGUGUGUUACAAGUGUCACACGGGACUGCCGGUCUUAAGCCGGAGGAAGGUGGGGAUGACGUCAAGUCAGCAUGGCCUUUAUAUCCUGGGCUACACACACGCUACAAUGGGUGGUACAACAGGUUGCGAAACCGCGAGGUGGAGCCAAUCCUUAAAGCCAUCCUCAGUUCAGAUUGUAGGCUGCAACUCGCCUGCAUGAAGAUGGAGUUGCUAGUAACCGCAUA